This 253-nucleotide ribosomal RNA is filed under the name uncultured bacterium. Its description in RNAcentral is "partial 16S ribosomal RNA". It matches the Rfam family "Bacterial small subunit ribosomal RNA", at positions 524 to 776 of the family's 1533-position model. The record is from RNAcentral.
UACAGAGGGGGCAAGCGUUGUUCGGAAUUACUGGGCGUAAAGGGCGCGUAGGCGGCCGUGUAAGUCACUUGUGAAAUCCCGGGGCUCAACUCCGGGGCUGCAGGUGAGACUGCGUGGCUAGAGCACGGUAGAGGCGAGUGGAAUUCCCGGUGUAGCGGUGGAAUGCGUAGAUAUCGGGAAGAACACCGGUGGCGAAGGCGGCUCGCUGGGCCGUUGCUGACGCUGAGGCGCGAAAGCGUGGGGAGCAAACAGG